Non-coding RNA from Triticum aestivum (bread wheat), 261 nucleotides. NCBI's taxonomy places the organism in Eukaryota, Viridiplantae, Streptophyta, Magnoliopsida, Poales, Poaceae. The record is from Rfam.
GCAAAAAAAGUGGUGGAAUGCCCUCGAAACCAAUUCACUUGAGUGAGACAUAGGAGAGUGGAAUUUCAUGUGUAGGGGUGAAAUCCAUAGAUCUAUGAAGGAACGUUAAAAGCGUAGGCAGCUCUCUGGGUCCCUACCAACGCCGGGGUGCGAAAACAUAGGGAGCGAACAUGAUUAGAUACCCUGGUAGUCCAUGCCAUAAACGACGAUUAUUCGCCCUUGGUCUACGCGGAACAGGGGGCCAGCUAACGCAUGAAACAC